RNAcentral lists this transfer RNA (66 nucleotides) under Mileewa lamellata. RNAcentral describes it as "tRNA-Gly". Lineage: Eukaryota; Metazoa; Arthropoda; Insecta; Hemiptera; Cicadellidae. The record is from RNAcentral.
AUCUAAUUAGUAUAAUUUUGUAUAUUAAGCCUCCAACUUAAAGGUUUUAAAAAAUAAAAUUAGAUA